CUACGGGGUGCUCCAGUGAGGAAUAUUGGUCAAUGGGCGAGAGCCUGAACCAGCCAAGUCGCGUGCAGGAAGACUGCCCUAUGGGUUGUAAACUGCUUUUGUAUGAGAGUAAAAUACAAUACGUGUAUUGUUUUGCAAGUAUCAUACGAAUAAGGAUCGGCUAACUCCGGGCCAGCAGCCGCGGUAAUACGGAGGAUCCGAGCGUUAUCCGGAUUUAUUGGGUUUAAAGGGUGCGUAGGCGGGAUAUUAAGUCAGUGGUGAAAGUUUGCAGCUCAACUGUAAAAUUGCCAUUGAUACUGAUGUUCUUGAGUACAAAUGAGGUAGGCGGAAUGUGUUGUGUAGCGGUGAAAUGCAUAGAUAUAACACAGAACACCGAUUGCGAAGGCAGCUUACUGGGAUGUAACUGACGCUGAGGCACGAAAGCGUGGGGAUCAAACAGGAUUAGAUACCCUAGUAGUC
This 459-nucleotide ribosomal RNA is filed under the name uncultured bacterium. Its description in RNAcentral is "partial 16S ribosomal RNA". It matches the Rfam family "Bacterial small subunit ribosomal RNA", at positions 339 to 795 of the family's 1533-position model. The record is from RNAcentral.